RNAcentral lists this ribosomal RNA (742 nucleotides) under uncultured Russula. RNAcentral's name for it is "eukaryotic LSU rRNA". The stretch from base 255 to 408 matches the Rfam family "5.8S ribosomal RNA". The record is from RNAcentral. Lineage: Eukaryota; Fungi; Basidiomycota; Agaricomycetes; Russulales; Russulaceae.
CUUGGUCAUUUAGAGGAAGUAAAAGUCGUAACAAGGUUUCCGUAGGUGAACCUGCGGAAGGAUCAUUAUCGUACAACCGAGGUGCAAGGGCUGUCGCUGACCGUCAAAGGUCGUGCACGCCCGAGCGCUCUCACACAAUCCAUCUCACCUUUGUGCAUCACCGCGUGGGUCCCCUUUCCGGGAGGGCUUGCGUUUUCACAUAAAAACUCGAUACAGUGUAGAAUGUUUCUUUUGCGGUCACACGCAAUCAAUACAACUUUCAACAACGGAUCUCUUGGCUCUCGCAUCGAUGAAGAACGCAGCGAAAUGCGAUACGUAAUGUGAAUUGCAGAAUUCAGUGAAUCAUCGAAUCUUUGAACGCACCUUGCGCCCCUUGGCAUUCCGAGGGGCACACCCGUUUGAGUGUCGUGAAAUCUUCAAAACCCUUUUCUUUGAUCCAUUUCGGUCGGGAAAAGGAUUUUUGGACUUGGAGGUUCAAUGCUCGCCCUUUCUUUUGAAAGCGAGCUCCUCUUAAAUGAAUCAGUGGGGUCCGCUUUGCUGAUCCUUGACGUGAUAAGAUGUUUCUACGUUUUGGGUUUAGCACUGUCCCUUGGACGCCUGCUCCUAACCGUCUCACCGAUAACGAUGGUGCUCUGGUCACCGCCGUCUACAUCGGCGGGAGGCUGGACCCACAAAAAGAAAACCUUGACCUCAAAUCGGGUGAGACUACCCGCUGAACUUAAGCAUAUCAAUAAGCGGAGGA